AUGUCACAGGUUAGGAAUGAGCCUUUAGACGUGCUCCUGUUGACACACAGUCAUCAGCUGUGUCUCCCUGCUUUGGACAAAGUGGAUGUUUCCAUGCUUCUUUUGGAGGAGUGUCCUGAGCCACACUCAGAGCCAGAUUCACCACAAAGCCAGACCAGGGUGAGGCUGAGCUCCAUCCAUUUCCCUGUGAGGGUGAACUUUGUGUGUCUUAAGCCUCUCUGUAUAAAAUUGUGCCUGCCACUGCUGCCUUCCUUCACUAGCAGCUACUGACAGCAAAAAAAGAGCUUGACCUUCCACCAUGUGUUCUUGGUGUGUUCCAGAUGUGCCCAAAACUGUUUGAGAAUCCAGCUGUGGCUGCUUUGAGGACGAGAAAGUGAAACGAUGCUUCAUACUUGCAGGUGCUGUUCUGGCUUACCCUGGACUAGAAUUUGAACACUGAAAAUGGAUCAGAGAUUCAGCUUGAAGAAAUCACCUGCUGUAAAGUUGUAGCUGGCAGCUCCUUGUUUAACUCUUAGUUGCAUCACUUUGUUUAACUCUGAUGAAUGAGCUCUGUUAUGUAGGGAAUUAAUUUGUCUUGGCCUUCAAUCCUGAGAUGAGAACACCUUAUUGUAUAGCGAUAGAACCACAGAACAACAGAAUUGUCUGAGACCUUUCAAAUCACUGAGUCCAGUCCUUGACCCAGCGCUGCCCAGUCCACCACUAAACCUUGUCCCCAAGUGCCACAUCUACACUUUUUAAAUACUUCCAGGCUGGUGACUCAGCCACUUCCCUGGGCAGCCCGUUGUCCCAUGUACACAAAAAUAGUUAAGCGCUAAAGCUUGUCAAAAUGCAAAGCAACCUGUAAAGCUCCAGCUCCACAUUGCUCAGCUUUCUUAUUCCAUUACCAAAUAAGAACUAUAAGGGUUGGGUUUUUUCCCCCUCCAGGCAUUCAUCUGACUCAUUAAACUGUCAGAGGGUGGACACUGGCUGUAUAAGAAAGAGAUAAUGGAAAAUGUUAACGUGGUUUAUGUAAGCCACUUGGACUUGAACUGUUCAACACUUCACCCUCUGUGCAUCUUUAUUUGUAGCAGAUUCAUUCUCUUUGUCGUGCUACUGCUGUGCUUAUAUAAAUGGUCAGACAAAAGGAUGCAGAUAUUUCAAGUAGCACAUACCAGUAGCUAGGAGGUGACACAAAUGAGAAACAGAUUGCUAAAGGUAUAAAAUGCUGGGUGGUGUCUCAGCUCCACUGAUGUGGAACAGGAGUCUUCAGGAGAUUUCAAGGUUCCCUCUUCACUCUGUGCACUUUCCACCUUGUGCAGGUGUCCCUGGUAUAUCAGGCCAAUGAUUUAGGAGCUGAUCUCUUGCCUGCUGUCACUGUGAAAUACAUGGGGGGUUAUUACUAUGCCAGAGAAACCUGCUUCUGUGCAGGAAAUUCUCUGGGAUGAACAUGGGAGCUGGGAGAGUGUUCAUUUAUCUCCUGUCCCCAUGCUGUUCCCUAAAUAUCCACUACUGGAGACUGGAAGAUGUAGUAGGUAGACCCUCAGGCAGAACCAAAAGGGCUGCUCUGGUAUUUUUAAACAAGCCUGUUUUUUUUUAUUUAUUGAGUUUAAAGGCAGCCUGAGGCCUGCUCAGCUGUAGAUUGCUACUUUGCAAUAUCCAGAGUUACAGGAAAUUAAUCAUUCUCCUAAGAACCUGCUCUUUCUUUGAAAGAAUCCCUGAGGUAAUUCCACAGCAGGUGGGAGACUAUUACUCAUUGCCUUCUGUGUAAAUAAAGGGGAAAGAGUUAAUAUCA
Long non-coding RNA from Cyanistes caeruleus (blue tit), 1771 nucleotides. Lineage: Eukaryota; Metazoa; Chordata; Aves; Passeriformes; Paridae. The record is from Ensembl.